RNAcentral lists this long non-coding RNA (1174 nucleotides) under Coturnix japonica (Japanese quail). RNAcentral describes it as "lncRNA (ENSCJPG00005003966.1)". The record is from RNAcentral. Lineage: Eukaryota; Metazoa; Chordata; Aves; Galliformes; Phasianidae.
GACAGAGCACCGUGCCGAAAGUACAGCAGUCUGCACAGCUGGAGAGCAGCAGUGUCUCCCUGUGUCCUAGAAGAACGUGCUCGCUGCAUGGGGACGUUUACUGCUCAGAGCGUCUCUGAAAACGCCAGUGUUUCUUGCCACCCUUCAGGCUCUUCUGAUCCUGGCUGAGCCCUGCCGGUCAAGAUUUCAUGGAGCUUAAUGGUCUGGGAGCUGCAUUUGUCCUACAAAGUUGUUCUACUUCUGAAGGUGUUCGGUGAGAUCCUAUUCUGACAAGUUUUAGCUGGAACUCAUGAAGAGUUCAUCUUGCUGAAAUCCCUUAUGCAGAGAAAUGCCUCAAAGGACUCAAUCUAUAAGGUGGGAAGAAAAACUGGCUGCAAAAAUGAGAUGGUUCUGAAGGUGCUGGCAAAAGAGAGCAUAAAAUGCUGCCUCCGGACAGGUGGAGGGUGGCAAACUACCAGCUGUGUCCCUCAUGUGACUAGAAUCUUGCAAAAUAGCAUUCCAGCCUCCAAGGGCAACUAUGUGAUGUGAUAUACUGGGACUCGUGCUCUGUCUAUGGACCUCUGGAAGAGCGAUUAGAAGAGUUGCUUUCCUAUGGUUUCUGAACUAAGAUCUCCAAUGAAGUCUGUAACUGCUGGUAUGUGAGCUCUCAGCUUGACAGUGCUGUUUCUUGCUUACUUACACAGCCGUCAGUGCUCAUACCCAAAAUCUCUGUUCUUUGGGCUUGCCGCUUGUAUAUAAUUUCAUAAAGGGUACAAUGCUUCUGCAAUCAGAAAGAAGAGACUAUUGAUUUUUUUAUGAUUCUCUCUUCAUUGUAAAUUAAUCCAACCCAUCUUUCUUAGACAUAAGUGGUGAUCUGCCUUAAAAAAUACAAAUGUGUUUUGAUUAUGAAGUACUCAAAAGUUGCCCCAGUGUUCAUGAGCUGCCUAGCAUUAGUGGACGCAUGCAGCAAUGGGUGAAAGUCCUAUCUCAGGUGGAACUUCUCCCUUUGGCUUAAAUUCCAGAAUGCAUCAGAAACCCCUCAUCUGCUGUGUUUAACAUAGUCUUGUCAACAGGAAGUCUGAGAACUGUUUGAAUUUGUCCUGUUUUGAUGUGGCAGCUCUGCAUAUGUGAUGAUUUCAGACAAGAAAGCUGGAUAUGUAAUAAAUGCCAUAAGGGCAGUAAGGCUCUGAUCCUU